GAUGAAACGCUGGCGGCGUGCCUAACACAUGCAAGUUCGAGCGAUUCUCUUCGGAGAAGAGCGGCGGACGGGUGAGUAACGCGUGGGUAACCUGCCCUGUACACACGGAUAACAUACCGAAAGGUAUGCUAAUACGAGAUGAUAUAUUUUUAUUGCAUGAUAAAAAUAUCAAAGCUUUUGCGGUACAGGAUGGACCCGCGUCUGAUUAGCUAGUUGGUAAGGUAACGGCUUACCAAGGCGACGAUCAGUAGCCGACCUGAGAGGGUGAUCGGCCACACUGGAACUGAGACACGGUCCAGACUCCUACGGGAGGCAGCAGUGGGGAAUAUUGCACAAUGGGCGAAAGCCUGAUGCAGCAACGCCGCGUGAGCGAUGAAGGCCUUCGGGUCGUAAAGCUCUGUCCUCAAGGAAGAUAAUGACGGUACUUGAGGAGGAAGCCCCGGCUAACUACGUGCCAGCAGCCGCGGUAAUACGUAGGGGGCUAGCGUUAUCCGGAAUUACUGGGCGUAAAGGGUGCGUAGGCGGUCUUUCAAGCCAGAAGUGAAAGGCUACGGCUCAACCGUAGUAAGCUUUUGGAACUGUAGGACUUGAGUGCAGGAGAGGAGAGUGGAAUUCCUAGUGUAGCGGUGAAAUGCGUAGAUAUUAGGAGGAACACCAGUAGCGAAGGCGGCUCUCUGGACUGUAACUGACGCUGAGGCACGAAAGCGUGGAGAGCAAACAGGAUUAGAUACCCUGGUAGUCCACGCCGUAAACGAUGAGUACUAGGUGUCGGGGGUUACCCCCCUCGGUGCCGCAGCUAACGCAUUAAGUACUCCGCCUGGGAAGUACGCUCGCAAGAGUGAAACUCAAAGGAAUUGACGGGGACCCGCACAAGUAGCGGAGCAUGUGGUUUAAUUCGAAGCAACGCGAAGAACCUUACCUAAGCUUGACAUCCCAUUGACCUCUCCCUAAUCGGAGAUUUCCCUUCGGGGACAGUGGUGACAGGUGGUGCAUGGUUGUCGUCAGCUCGUGUCGUGAGAUGUUGGGUUAAGUCCCGCAACGAGCGCAACCCUUGCCUUUAGUUGCCAGCAUUAAGUUGGGCACUCUAGAGGGACUGCCGAGGAUAACUCGGAGGAAGGUGGGGAUGACGUCAAAUCACCAUGCCCCUUAUGCUUAGGGCUACACACGUGCUACAAUGGGUGGUACAGAGGGUUGCCAAACCGUGAGGUGGAGCUAAUCCCUUAAAGCCAUUCUCAGUUCGGAUUGUAGGCUGAAACUCGCCUACAUGAAGCUGGAGUUACUAGUAAUCGCAGAUCAGAAUGCUGCGGUGAAUGCGUUCCCGGGUCU
RNAcentral lists this ribosomal RNA (1326 nucleotides) under uncultured bacterium. Its description in RNAcentral is "bacterial SSU rRNA". It matches the Rfam family "Bacterial small subunit ribosomal RNA", at positions 28 to 1381 of the family's 1533-position model. The record is from RNAcentral.